Protobothrops mucrosquamatus (brown spotted pit viper) is the source of this 338-nucleotide long non-coding RNA. RefSeq lists it as uncharacterized. NCBI's taxonomy places the organism in Eukaryota, Metazoa, Chordata, Lepidosauria, Squamata, Viperidae. The record is from RefSeq and is a predicted model, not a curated record. The transcript is spliced from 3 exons.
AGUCUUUCAUAGAUUAUGUUGCAGUGGAACAGCUGGAUGGAGAUAAUAAAUAUGAUGCGGGAGAACAUGGUUUGCAGGAGGCAGAAAAAGGGGUCAAGUUCCUAACGUUGCCACCUGUACUACACCUACAGCUCAUGCGCUUCAUGUACGAUCCCCAGACGGACCAGAACAUCAAGAUAAAUGAUAGGUUUGAAUUUCCAGAUCAGUUGCCUCUGGAUGAAUUCUUGCAAAAAACUGAUCCUAAAGAUGCUGCAAAUUAUAUUCUUCACGCAGUGCUUGUACACAGUGGUGAUAACCAUGGGGGGCAUUAUGUUGUUUACUUGAACCCGAAAGGGGAU